Molecule: long non-coding RNA, 785 nt
Organism: Solanum tuberosum (potato)
Lineage: Eukaryota; Viridiplantae; Streptophyta; Magnoliopsida; Solanales; Solanaceae
Exons: 3
Source: RefSeq, a predicted model, not a curated record
AAUGCGAAGGGAUGAAAUAUAGUCCCUAAUAUCAUCAAUAACUUGUCCCUAAUAUCCAAAAUUGAGCGAGACUAAACCCAAAAUAAAAUAUUGCUCUUAAAAAAAAUAAUCAGGAAUGGGUACUUUAACUAAAGCAAAUAUCAUCCUUCAAACCUAAUUUCAUCUCAAAAAAACCCUAGACCGCUUCUCUAUGCGAGUGAAAAUCAUCGUUCCUCUUCUGCCUCUAUUUUGUUCAUCUAUGUUCCGGGUAGAUCGAGCAAUAACGAAAGGACACAAACAUACAAAUCAUUCUGGGUGUGGACUUGACCAUGAGCCCAAGAACUCUCCGAAAUUCUAUCUCACAAAUCUGAAGAUUGAUUUCAAGUGUCUAUGGAUGCUCAGUGUUUUUUGACGGUCCUCUGUUUCUUUAUUUCAACGUUUUUGAGUUUGUACUAGAGAAGACAAACAAACACUUGAACCAGAACAUAUUUUUGAGGCUUUUAGGUGCUUCAUCUUACCUUGUAAGUCUACUUUUAUGUGUAUCUGCUGCACAUUAAUUUUGUUUUUCAAUUCCUUGAGAUAGUACUUUAUUUCUCUAUUUACUUAUGCCUGAAAAGUGAUAUCAAGUGUUAUCGAUGACCAUGCAAAUAUUCUUCAUGAUUUUAACUGGUGUUUACAUUAUGUGUAAAUUAUGGUUGCUUUCUGGUUCUUAAGGAACAUACACACCAAAGAAAGCAAUAGAACCAAUUUUAAACAGUGAUGUAUAAUAGUAAAAUAAUUAUUUUCAUCACUGGCCAUUCAAAAUG